GACGAACGCUGGCGGCGUGCUUAACACAUGCAAGUCGAACGGUAAGGCCCUUCGGGGUACACGAGUGGCGAACGGGUGAGUAACACGUGGGUGAUCUGCCCUGCACUUCGGGAUAAGCCUGGGAAAAUGGGUCUAAUACCGGAUAGGACUCCUGGCUUCAUGGUUGGGGGUGGAAGGCUUUUGAGGUGUGGGAUGGGCCCGCGGCCUAUCAGCUUGUUGGUGGGGUAAUGGCCUACCAAGGCGACGACGGGUAGCCGGCCUGAGAGGGUAACCGGUCACACUGGGACUGCGAUACGGCCCAGACUCCUACGGGAGGCAGCAGUGGGGAAUAUUGCACAAUGGGCGCAAGCCUGAUGCAGCGACGCCGCGUGAGGGAUGACGGCCUUCGGGUUGUAAACCUCUUUCAGCUAUGACGAAGCGCAAGUGACGGUAGUAGCAGAAGAAGGACCGGCCAACUACGUGCCAGCCGCCGCGGUAA
Molecule: ribosomal RNA, 478 nt
Filed under: uncultured bacterium
Lineage: Bacteria
Description: partial 16S ribosomal RNA
Rfam family: Bacterial small subunit ribosomal RNA
Source: RNAcentral